This 29-nucleotide non-coding RNA is filed under the name Rattus norvegicus (Norway rat). The record is from RNAcentral. Lineage: Eukaryota; Metazoa; Chordata; Mammalia; Rodentia; Muridae.
UGCCUGGUGAAAUUCUUCAUAAUGAAAUA